This 32-nucleotide non-coding RNA is filed under the name Homo sapiens (human). Lineage: Eukaryota; Metazoa; Chordata; Mammalia; Primates; Hominidae. The record is from RNAcentral.
UGUCUGGAAAAUCUUACUCCAAAUGGCAGGAC